GGCGGGGGCGGGGGCGGAGAGGUUGUCUCCAGGUUGGACCUGAGCUUCAGGAAAGUCGCUUUAGUAACUGGAUGGAGGAUGGACUGGAGUGGAGACUCGAGGUAGGCAGAGCCACCCAAAGGCUAUUUCGGUAGUUCAAGGCAUGAGGUGAUGAGGGCCUGCACCAGGGGAUGGCAGUGUCAGAGGAGGCAUGCUGCAAAGGUUAGUUGGACAGCCUUGACGACAGCUUGGAUGAGAGACGGGGGUGAGAGAGAGUGAGGAGUCCAGGAUGACUCCUAGGUUUCAAGCCUGAGGGACUUUGAGUAUGGUGAUGCCCUCCCCAUAACAGGGAAUUUGGAGGUUAAGGGGAAAGAUGAUGAGGUCCAUUUGGGACAUAAUUGAGUUGAAGAUGUCCAGGGGCCAUUCAGAUGUCUCAGGGGCAGUUGGAGAUGAGAGACUGGAGGUCAGCCGAGAGUUGGGACAGGUUCGAUAGAGUGGAGAGUCAUCAGCAUAGAGAUUGUCAUUCAAUCGAUGGGAACCGCUGAGAUCCCCAGGUGAAGUAGGUGACUCCUGAGGUCCGUAAGCUAGCUUGAGGAUCCAGAAGUGAGGGCUCUCUAAAGGGCUGCGUCAGGCCUGCCGGGGAAGGUCAGGACUACCAGGAAGCCAACGGAAACGGGCUCCCGGAAGAGGUGGCACGGGAGGUGUCGAUCCUGCCCUUUGUGUCCCUCACCCAUCAGGCUUCUUCUCCAAAGUUUUGCGCACCAUCUUCCAAGAACAGGUCCAGAUGCUCCAGAACGCCAUUAUCCGAAGUCUUUCCCCCCACCCCCCUCCAGGCGCCUUCCACUAGCUAGUCCAGCCUCUCUAGGCCACCCAAAGCUCUCUUCUUCCUUCCGACAUCCUGCUGGUGGGCAGGUGCUGUGGGGUGGGAGAGGUCUGGUCCAGUUUGCUGGGAAGUGUUCCGGCUGUCUGGAUGGCGGGGCACACGAAAAGGCUCUGUCUGUUUCUGCUGAGCCCUGGCAGAAUCCGGUCCACCUCUCCGAAAAAUCAGCCAAUCAGCCCCAGGCCCCCUUCCACGCCCAGUCCCACGGCAGGCUGGUCUGAAUGGUGCUGUAA
This 1092-nucleotide long non-coding RNA is filed under the name Phascolarctos cinereus (koala). RNAcentral describes it as "lncRNA (ENSPCIG00000003708.2)". The record is from RNAcentral. Lineage: Eukaryota; Metazoa; Chordata; Mammalia; Diprotodontia; Phascolarctidae.